Molecule: long non-coding RNA, 1052 nt
Organism: Balaenoptera ricei (Rice's whale)
Lineage: Eukaryota; Metazoa; Chordata; Mammalia; Artiodactyla; Balaenopteridae
Exons: 2
Source: RefSeq, a predicted model, not a curated record
CUGGUGGCGCAGUGGUUGAGAAUCUGCCUGCCAAUGCAGGGGACACGGGUUCGAGCCCUGGUCUGGGAAGAUCCCACAUGCCGCAGAGCAGCUGGGCCCGUGAGCCACAACUACUGAGCCUGCGCGUCUGGAGCCUGUGCUCCGCAGCAAGAGAGGCCCGCGACGGGCUUCCCUGGUGGCGCAGUGCUUAAGAACCCGCCUGCCAAUGCAGGGGACAUGGAUUCGAGCCCUGGUCUGGGAAGAUUCCACAUGCUGCGGAGCAACUAAGCCCGUACACCACAACUACUGAGCCUGCGCUCUAGAGCCUGCGAGCCACAACUACUGAAGCCCACGUGCCUAGAGCCCCUGCUCCGCAACAAGAGAAGCCACCACAAUGGGAGCCCGUGCACCUCAACGAACAGUAGCCCCAGCUUGCCGCAACUAGAGAAAGCCCACGUGCAGGAGCGAAGAGCCAACGCAGCCAAAAAUAAAUAAAUAAAUUAAUUAAUUAAAGAAAAAAAGAACUAAGGGAAUAAGACACAAAAACACAAAGGGAACAGGAGAGACAUGAGGAGUGAGAAGUGACACAGUGUGGAUAUGCAGGGGGCCCUGAGUUUUCAAAAAAAAAAAAAAAUCUUUCCUCAUAGAAAGCUCCAGGCCCAGGUGCCUUCACUUUAUGGAUUCUACCAAGUAUUUAAGGAAUUAAUGUUACCAGUUCUAUACAAGUUCUUUCAGAAAAUAGCAGAGAGGGAGCACCUCCCACCUCAGAGGGAGACCUAAAAGAAUUUACCAAAAAAGCUACCAAAAAGACCCAAAACCAAACAAAAACAAAGCUAAAAACUUGUAGUGAGGUGUAGGGAGUUUAUCAAGGUGACAGGAUACAGUCAGUAUAUUAAAAUCUAUUGUUUCUAUGUCCUAGCAAUGAACAAAUGGAAAUUAAAAUGAAAAUAGACCUCAUCUCAGGUGAUUAAAAAUAAAACGGUGAGAAUUUUCUAACUAGAUUGCCUGGGUAUAAAUCAGAGCCCUAUCAUUUACUAGAUAUGUACUCUUCAAUAAAAUUUAAAUUUUUUCUA